This is a long non-coding RNA of Cryptomeria japonica (Japanese cedar), 2279 nucleotides long. RefSeq lists it as uncharacterized. NCBI's taxonomy places the organism in Eukaryota, Viridiplantae, Streptophyta, Pinopsida, Cupressales, Cupressaceae. The transcript has 5 exons. The record is from RefSeq and is a predicted model, not a curated record.
UUAGAAUAUCAACUUACCCGCGCACGAUACUUAGCGUUGUUGAUGCAAAUCUGGUUCAAAUCUCGAAAUUUGUGUAAGCAGCUCACAUCGCUCUGAUAAAUCCCACUUAAAAUUGUCAUUUUCCUGAAUGAUUUCAGGGUUGUAAACGGGUCAAGUUGUGCAACGGUGGUCGACAAAUGUAAACAUGUUGGCAACUCGAAUUUCAUCUUUUCCACAUGAUACGGGACUUUCAUUGCAAGACUCACCAAUCGCGGGCAACUUGUUGUGAUUGCCCUGAUUCCAUUAGAUGAGGAUGGAAAAUCAAGAUGGAGAAAAAUAAAACUUCCAGAGCAUACUUUUACUCUUUGAACCCCAUGACAAUUACCGACGACUAAAACUUUCAGAACUGGACAUAAUUGCAGCAUUAGAUCGAGGGUCUUGUCAUUCAGCUUAAUGUAGAGCAAAUAGAGGGUUUCGAGGCAGGCGAAGCCACCACAGGAGCCAGGCAUGUCUUCGAGACGAAAAUUCCUGAGAGACAGAUAUCUGAGCUUGGUGCAAAAAAACACAGAAUUCGGAACCUCAACCUCUGUAUGAAACUGGAGACUUAUCUUUCUCGCAUCUUUUAGAGCGGCAUGGUGAAUCCACUCAUUUAUCUUUGCAUUUGAAACGACGAAGCUGAUUAAUCCGUGAAAUUGGAAAAGUUCAAGGGGUACAGAAUGCCACUUAAGAAUACCAUCAAUUAUGUUUUGGAUUUCAAGUAGGCGGGCUGAUGAAUAAAAUAUUUCCUCUGAAAACCUUAGGUUGGGUAAGUACCUCCAAAGAAAUCUCCAUCUCUUAGAAAUCACAGAACAACGAAUUGCCUGAUCCAAAGGAACUCUACUCAGUAUCAGGCACAGUAAAGAAUCCGUCUUUUAUUUUCUUCUAUCACUAAGCUCAACAUGUUUCUGCUUGACCGACGGCAGCGGCUUCAUGCGAGGCGUUCACGGUGUUCAUGAUCAAUGGCUGGAUCGCGGGAAGAAAUGGAGGGGUUUUAUUUAACCUACAAAAUCCUCCCAUAUUUUACCAUCCGACUAGCAGAGGCAGGAGCUACAGGGGAAGCAGGAGCACCGGAAGCAGAGGCAACAAAGCAAGCGUUUAUUCAGAACCUCCAGAUCCUGAAGCAUCUAUUGAUUUGGAACCUCCAGAUCCAUCUGAUGUCAUUUCAUGUACUGGUUUUCUAGCUCCAGAUCGAGGGGUUUAGAGAUCUUCAACAGUUUUCGAUGCCAUAGCCAGUCCAAGGGUCGAAUCAGGUUUUACUUGAUAUUUCAGAUUUCUAUGAGGAUUAGAAAAGAGAUUCAGUAUUGUCAAUUGCAAAGACAUAUUCAACUAUGUCAUUGUCCUCCUUCAAUAGCAAUGACUUCAUGUACCAAAUCUAAGAUUAUUGUAGAUCAGCCAGAGGCCAAGCUUUUUGACACUACUACUCCAAUGGUUAUUCUACGUCAACAAUUCUAUUAGGCUAUAUUCUUGGUGUCAAUAAGAAAUGGCAGACCAGGGCAUAGGCCUUGAGAAUAUAAGCAAGGGAGAAUAAAUCUAUGAUUCUUUGAUAGCGAUAGACUGGGCUAAUCCUCAGGCCAUAGAUAGCACAUACCAAUCCCUUAUAAGAGAAAGUAGCUAGAUGCAAGAGGGGAUAUGUAUGCAUAUCUUGAGAUUGGUCAACUGAGCAAGAAGAAUAUUAUUUUGAAAGGUUGAAUUUCUAUGAUAUAUGUAAUCCCAGCAUUCAUCCUUUGGUACACUAUUAAACUCCAGAGGUUAACAAUAGAGAGAAACCAGUUAUAAUUUCUCCUCAUUAGAAAUAUUAUGUCCUAUAUAAUAUAAUAACUUAAUAGAUGAUUGAGGUCCAAAUUUUGCUUUGUUAGUCUAUGUAGAAAUGCCAUUCUAUUGUUUUAUUUUUCAUCAUCUUGUAGACCAAAUGUGUGGUGGCUGGAAGAGGUAUCAGGGAUAUACAUACAUAUAAAUAAAGGAUACCUCAAGUUGAGACAAUUUCCUCAAAAAAUGUCUGUGUUAUUUAUAUGUAUGUAUAUCCCUGAUUCCUCUUCCAACCACCACACAUUUCAGGGCACCGCUACAUUCCACUUUAUAUAGUUUUCCACUUUUCAGGGCACCACUACAUUCCCGAAGCUACAGCAAGGUUGGUUAGUCUUUGUUAUGUACUAUAUCUUUGUAGUUUGGAAAAGAAUGCUCAACUUGUAGUAACGACUAUCUAAAGAUUGUAAUUUCUGUUUUUUUAAGUAAUAAGAAUAUUAAUACUUUUGUUUGAAAGA